This 241-nucleotide ribosomal RNA is filed under the name uncultured bacterium. RNAcentral's name for it is "partial 16S ribosomal RNA". It matches the Rfam family "Bacterial small subunit ribosomal RNA", at positions 334 to 567 of the family's 1533-position model. The record is from RNAcentral.
AUGACCUACGGGACGCAGCAGUAGGGAAUCUUCCACAAUGGACGAAAGUCUGAUGGAGCAACGCCGCGUGAGUGAAGAAGGGUUUCGGCUCGUAAAUCUCUGUUGGUAGUGAAGAAAGAUAGAGGUAGUAACUGGCCUUUAUUUGACGGGAAUUACUUAGAAAGUCACGGCUAACUACGUGCCAGCUGCCGCGGUAAUACGUAGGUUGCAAGCGUUGUCCGGAGUUAUUGGGCGUAAAGCG